RNAcentral lists this non-coding RNA (31 nucleotides) under Homo sapiens (human). Lineage: Eukaryota; Metazoa; Chordata; Mammalia; Primates; Hominidae. The record is from RNAcentral.
CUGAAGACUUGAUCUUGAACUUCACCAUCUC